Long non-coding RNA from Triticum aestivum (bread wheat), 1767 nucleotides. RefSeq lists it as uncharacterized. Lineage: Eukaryota; Viridiplantae; Streptophyta; Magnoliopsida; Poales; Poaceae. The record is from RefSeq and is a predicted model, not a curated record. The transcript has 8 exons.
AGUACAUCCUUUUUGCAUCUCUGUCAACAAUAUUAUAACAAUCUGAUCUGAAAAGCGAGAAGUAACGCAACAACUUUGAGUCAGAACGGUGAGGCCAAUAGUAUUGUUUUAUGCAUCGUGUCAUCCCCUCCAGAGCCAAUAAUUGACUUGUAUAUAUGCUGUGGAAAUAGUUGUGGCCAUAUGCUGUUAACUUGUUGGGCAUCAUCACAUUUGUUUGCUUUAGUGGGAGACUGUUGCUGUCACAAGUGCACCGGAAGAGGUCCGCCUGUACUUUUUAGGUAGUCUUUUGUGUGGGGAUGGAAGCUGAGUUCUUGCCAUCUUGCUGCUUUCCCUGUGUUUGCGCAAGUGUGGUUGUGGUGGUGAUGAUGUUAGCAUUGGGAUGCUUUUCAUUGGGAUGGAAUGGAUAGAGCUUACAUUUGAUACUGGGUCAACUUGAUGAGGAUAGAAAAGGAGAGGCACCUAGGCUCCCUUCCACAUAGUUAACCAUAUCUGCAGGGGGCAGUACCAACAUGCGUCGCCCUCGCCCAGAUAUGCAGAUCUAUGUGCAUUUUCAAAGCGCAAUUUAUCAGGGACCCGUUUGGUAUCUUGUUCCUUUGUUGUUUGUCCACUCUUCUCCUGUGUUCUAUUUGGUCAUCACUACCAGGGGUGGUUCCUGAUCACUGCUUUUUCUCUGGCCUCAACAGGGAACACAUCGCUUGUUCGCAGCUGUUGCAAGUGCUCUGCUGAUCUCAUUCCAGGGAAGGCUGCCCAAGCACCCCAAACUGAUUAGACAUAGAUAUUGGAAACCAGCCCAUGCACACGCACAUGUGUUGAGAUGCAAGGCAACGAGGCCAAAAACAUCAAGAUGUAAAUUUAACACCUACGACUGAGUCAAUCUUCUUCCACAUCAACGCCUUCAAGAUAAGCCGGAGCCGUCCACUCGUAUCUCGUAGCGGCACCUAGGGGCUAGGGCAUCCUGAAUGAUACCUCAUACAGGUCUAGAAGGCAGGGGAAAGAAAGAAAGAAGGCGAGAAAAGGGCAACAUCAGGAUCAGGUGGCGACGUGCAAGUCUGGCGCUGCCAAAUACCCAAAGUACAGAGUGGUUGGCAUGAGUGCCAGAAACAAAAUGGAAUUUAUCAGGCCUGCCUCCACGACAAUGCUACGUUGAUGCUAACUCGAUCCCGCGUCCACAUUAGCCGGUAUCUCUCCGGCAUGGCCCGUAUCUUUAUGGCAUGACACUGACAACGUCCCUCGCAAUCGCAAGAUCUCUGAGGACUCUGGAGUUUCUGAUGGGGAUAAGCUGGUGGAUUGAUUGGGCAACUAAUCGCAAGGACGGGGACCGGUAGAGGAUACUUCAGACGUCAAAGAAAAAAGAAGAACACCGGUGGAGGGAGUGAAGUUGCGGAAGGGAGGAGAUCAUCAAGAAGCUGUUAGUGAUGAAAAAAGACGACAUAAAAUUGAUGCAUGAGAUAAGAGGAGUAUCAUCGAAGAACACCGGUGGAGUGAAGUUGCACAAGGGGGGAGGUCAUCAAGAAGCUGUUAGUAAUGAGAAAAGACGACCUAAAAUUGAUGCAUGAGAGGAGUAUCAUCGAAACCUGUCUUCAAGUCCAUCAAAUGGAAGCAGAGAGCAUACUCUUGACAAACUCCCGAGGCCGGCAGACAGCCGCCAAUGGCGUCGCCAUUGGCAUUGUCAGUCCACCACCUUCAGCCAUGUCGAUGGUAUCGCCUUCACCAACAUCCCACUCAAAGCACUGCAGGAGUGCUGCGAGUGUCAAGCUUACAACGCGC